Molecule: long non-coding RNA, 1221 nt
Organism: Betta splendens (Siamese fighting fish)
Lineage: Eukaryota; Metazoa; Chordata; Actinopteri; Anabantiformes; Osphronemidae
Exons: 5
Source: RefSeq, a predicted model, not a curated record
CAAACCUCACCCACAAACGGAUCAAAUCUACUUACUGCGACACGAAGUGCGUAAAUACAGCCAGGAGCAGGACCCACGCAGCAAAGCAGAGGCCUGACGCCAUCAUGGAAUAAACACGUACAAAACGGAAACCAACCACACGAGAUACAGAAUAGGUGAUGCAGGAGGAAGCUGCUGGAAGGGACUGUGCUGCAAAUCCUCCCCGGGGACGUGGAAGCGAGGGGAAAAGCAGGUAGCAGCCCCUCUCUUUGGCUCAAAGAGGCUUCGCUGGUCGUCUGUGCUGAAGUUCAUUAAUGCUCUUCCACUGUAGAUUUGUAUUCUAGGGGUUUGAUACAACGUCCAGCAGCCAGAGGAAGCGUCGUCUCCAGCUGAACGUGAAGUGUUGCACCGCUGUCCUUUGAGCACAUCUGUAGCAGUUUUCGUGCCUGCGGCUGCAGACUCCCUGCUGUUAUAUACAAAUCACAGGCGCCGUGGGCAGAGCAGGCCGUCUGCCUCCAGGCCUCGCCUCCCUCCGGCCUGGUAGCCUUUCCUUCCUCGGCCGCUCAGUUCAUGUGGAGGUGGCCUUGAUUAAUCAGCGCAAAGCCCGUCUGCAUGCAACGCUGACAGCUCGGCACGAGGGCAGGCGCGUCCUUUUAAAUCCGACUUCUGACGUCGGCUGGCUUGGAAAUCAAUUCAGGAAGCGUUCUGCUACGUGGAAGAAAAACCAAAAGCCAAAUUCCUCAUCCAGUUGACCAACAAGCUCACGUUACCAGGUAGCGUUGACUAAAAUGAAACUGUGAGCAGUUUCUGCAGAUGCAUUAUGUGAGUGGGUCACUGCCGCUUCUUUAAAAAGGGAACUGCGCCCUGGGUUGAACUUUUAAUAAUAAUCCUUCCAUCACUUCCCCACGCCGGGUCCCACCCGCUAUUUGCAGCGCUGACCUUUAAAGCAGGAAGUUACAGUUAACACAGCCCCAGCACCUGCGAUGACAACCUGCUUUACAGCAUUUUUCCCUCAUCGAGCGCGUGUACAUUUUUGCUUUGUCCUCUCGGCACGUACAAGCUGCAGUUUGGCUUCCAGGACUCGGGCGCCGCACCUACGACUGGGACUCCAGAGCUGAGCAUUGUGCCGUCACCACUGAUUGCACACUGCAAAAUGAGUCGUUCGGUGCAAAUUUCAUCAACUUUAUAUUUACGUAAAGCUACGAUGGAGUUUUCCGAUGCAACACUGGAAACUCCACGUAG